GAUCAUGGCUCAGGAUGAACGCUGGCGGCGUGCUUAACACAUGCAAGUCGAACGAAGCACUUAAGAUUGAUUCUUCGGAUGAUUUUUUUUGUGACUUAGUGGCGGACGGGUGAGUAACGCGUGGGUAACCUGCCUCACACAGGGGGAUAACAGUUAGAAAUGACUGCUAAUACCGCAUAACCCGAUAGGAUCGCAUGAUCCAGACGGAAAAGAUUUAUCGGUGUGAGAUGGACCCGCGU
RNAcentral lists this ribosomal RNA (239 nucleotides) under uncultured bacterium. Its description in RNAcentral is "partial 16S ribosomal RNA". It matches the Rfam family "Bacterial small subunit ribosomal RNA", at positions 15 to 236 of the family's 1533-position model. The record is from RNAcentral.